This 327-nucleotide ribosomal RNA is filed under the name uncultured bacterium. RNAcentral describes it as "bacterial SSU rRNA". It matches the Rfam family "Bacterial small subunit ribosomal RNA", at positions 28 to 355 of the family's 1533-position model. The record is from RNAcentral.
GACGAACGCUGGCGGCGUGCUUAACACAUGCAAGUCGAGCGGUAAGGCCCUUUCGGGGGUACACGAGCGGCGAACGGGUGAGUAACACGUGGGUGACCUGCCCUUAGCUCUGGGAUAAGCCUGGGAAACUGGGUCGUAAUACCGGAUAUGACUCCAUGACGCAUGUUGUGGGGUGGAAAGCCUUGUGCGGCUAGGGAUGGGCCCGCGGCCUAUCAGCUUGUUGGUGGGGUGAUGGCCUACCAAGGCGACGACGGGUAGCCGGCCUGAGAGGGCGACCGGCCACACUGGGACUGAGACACGGCCCAGACUCCUACGGGAGGCAGCAGU